Molecule: ribosomal RNA, 253 nt
Filed under: uncultured bacterium
Lineage: Bacteria
Description: partial 16S ribosomal RNA
Rfam family: Bacterial small subunit ribosomal RNA
Source: RNAcentral
UACGAAGGGGGCUAGCGUUGCUCGGAAUCACUGGGCGUAAAGGGUGCGCAGGCGGCCGGGUGUGUCAGAUGUGAAAUCCCGAGGCUUAACCUCGGAACUGCGUCUGAAACUACUCGGCUAGAGUAUUGGAGAGGGUAACGGAAUUCACGGUGUAGCAGUGAAAUGCGUAGGUAUCGUGAGGAACACCAGAGGCGAAGGCGGUUACCUGGACAAUUACUGACGCUCAGGCACGAAAGCAUGGGGAGCAAACAGG